GUCUUACGCUGGCGGCGUGCCUAAUACUUGCAAGUCGAGCGGACAGAUGGGAGCUUGCUCCCUGAUGUUAGCGGCGGACGGGUGAGUAACACGUGGGUAACCUGCCUGUAAGACUGGGAUAACUCCGGGAAACCGGGGCUAAUACCGGAUGGUUGUUUGAACCGCAUGGUUCAGACAUAAAAGGUGGCUUCGGCUACCACUUACAGAUGGACCCGCGGCGCAUUAGCUAGUUGGUGAGGUAACGGCUCACCAAGGCGACGAUGCGUAGCCGACCUGAGAGGGUGAUCGGCCACACUGGGACUGAGACACGGCCCAGACUCCUACGGGAGGCAGCAGUAGGGAAUCUUCCGCAAUGGACGAAAGUCUGACGGAGCAACGCCGCGUGAGUGAUGAAGGUUUUCGGAUCGUAAAGCUCUGUUGUUAGGGAAGAACAAGUGCCGUUCAAAUAGGGCGGCACCUUGACGGUACCUAACCAGAAAGCCACGGCUAACUACGUGCCAGCAGCCGCGGUAAUACGUAGGUGGCAAGCGUUGUCCGGAAUUAUUGGGCGUAAAGGGCUC
This 560-nucleotide ribosomal RNA is filed under the name Bacillus sp. Ni18. RNAcentral describes it as "bacterial SSU rRNA". It matches the Rfam family "Bacterial small subunit ribosomal RNA", at positions 28 to 570 of the family's 1533-position model. Lineage: Bacteria; Bacillati; Bacillota; Bacilli; Caryophanales; Bacillaceae. The record is from RNAcentral.